RNAcentral lists this ribosomal RNA (371 nucleotides) under uncultured bacterium. RNAcentral's name for it is "bacterial SSU rRNA". It matches the Rfam family "Bacterial small subunit ribosomal RNA", at positions 527 to 896 of the family's 1533-position model. The record is from RNAcentral.
GUANNNNNNAAGCGUUGUCCGGAUUUACUGGGCGUAAAGAGCGCGCAGGCGGUCGGAUUAGUCGCGUGUGAAAGCCCCCGGCUCAACUGGGGAGGGUCACGCGAUACUGUUCGACUCGAAGGCAGGAGAGGGAAGUGGAAUUCCCGGUGUAGUGGUGAAAUGCGUAGAUAUCGGGAGGAACACCAGUGGCGAAGGCGACUUCCUGGCCUGUUCUUGACGCUGAGGCGCGAAAGCUAGGGUAGCAAACGGGAUUAGAUACCCCGGUAGUCCUAGCCGUAAACGAUGGACACUAGGUGUUGGUGGUAUCAACCCCGCCAGUGCCGAAGCUAACGCAUUAAGUGUCCCGCCUGGGGAGUACGGCCGCAAGGCUA